This is a ribosomal RNA of 1569 nucleotides. It matches the Rfam family "Bacterial small subunit ribosomal RNA". The record is from Rfam.
UAAGAUGAGAGUUUGAUCCUGGCUCAGGACGAACGCUGGCGGCGUGCCUAAUACAUGCAAGUCGCACGCACAACUGUUAACCGAUCCUGCUUGCAGGUGACGUUAAUGGACGUGAGUGGCGGACGGGUGAGUAACACGUGGGUAACCAACCCUGAAGCGGGGGAUAACCUUUGGAAACAGAGGCUAAUACCGCAUAGUUUAUCGCGACCUCCUGGUCGCAAUAAUAAAGACGGCUUCGGCUGUCACUUCAGGACAGACCCGCGGCGUAUUAGCUAGUUGGUGGGAUAAAGGCCUACCAAGGCGAUGAUACGUAGCCGACCUGAGAGGGUAAUCGGCCACAUUGGGACUGAGACACGGCCCAAACUCCUACGGGAGGCAGCAGUAGGGAAUCUUCCACAAUGGACGCAAGUCUGAUGGAGCAACGCCGCGUGAGUGAAGAAGGGUUUCGGCUCGUAAAACGCUGUUGUUGGAGAAGAACCGGGGGUAGAGUAACUGUUAUCCCCUUGACGGUAUCCAACCAGAAAGCCACGGCUAACUACGUGCCAGCAGCCGCGGUAAUACGUAGGUGGCAAGCGUUGUCCGGAUUUAUUGGGCGUAAAGCGAGCGCAGGCGGUUUUUUAAGUCUGAUGUGAAAGCCUUCGGCUUAACCGAAGAAGGGCAUCAGAAACUGAGAAGCUUGAGGACAGAAAAGGAAAGUGGAACUCCAUGUGUAGCGGUGAAAUGCGUAGAUAUAUGGAAGAACACCAGUGGCGAAGGCGGCUUUCUGGUCUGUUACUGACGCUGAGGCUCGAAAGUAUGGGGAGCGAACAGGAUUAGAUACCCUGGUAGUCCAUACCGUAAACGAUGAAUGCUAAGUGUUGGAGGGUUUCCGCCCUUCAGUGCUGCAGCUAACGCAUUAAGCAUUCCGCCUGGGGAGUACGACCGCAAGGUUGAAACUCAAAGGAAUUGACGGGGGCCCGCACAAGCGGUGGAGCAUGUGGUUUAAUUCGAAGCAACGCGAAGAACCUUACCAGGUCUUGACAUCCUUUGACCGCUGUCGAGAGACAGUUUGCCCUUCGGGGCCAAAGUGACAGGUGGUGCAUGGUUGUCGUCAGCUCGUGUCGUGAGAUGUUGGGUUAAGUCCCGCAACGAGCGCAACCCUUAUGACUAGUUGCCAGCAUUUAGUUGGGCACUCUAGUGAGACUGCCGGUGACAAACCGGAGGAAGGUGGGGAUGACGUCAAAUCAGCAUGCCCCUGAUGACCUGGGCUACACACGUGCUACAAUGGUCGGGACAACGAGUAGCGCGCCCGCGAGGGUUAGCUAAUCUCUAAAAACCGAUCUCAGUUCGGAUUGCAGGCUGCAACUCGCCUGCAUGAAGCCGGAAUCGCUAGUAAUCGCGGAUCAGCAUGCCGCGGUGAAUCCGUUCCCGGGCCUUGUACACACCGCCCGUCACACCAUGAGAGUUUGUAACACCCAAAGCCGGUGGGGCAACCCUUCGGGGAGCUAGCCGUCUAAGGUGGGACAGAUGAUUGGGGUGAAGUCGUAACAAGGUAGCCGUAGGAGAACCUGCGGCUGGAUCACCUCCUUU